UGAAGCCGGAAUUGCUAGUAAUGGCAGGUCAGCAUACUGCCGUGAAUACGUUCCCGGGCCUUGUACACACCGCCCGUCACACCAUGAGAGUUGGGAAUACCCGAAGCCUGUGAGCUAACUUUUGGAGGCAGCAGUCGAAGGUAGAAUCAAUGAUUGGGGGUGAAGUCGUAACAAGGUAAC
Molecule: ribosomal RNA, 180 nt
Filed under: uncultured bacterium
Lineage: Bacteria
Description: partial 16S ribosomal RNA
Rfam family: Bacterial small subunit ribosomal RNA
Source: RNAcentral